AGACCGAUAGCGAACAAGUAGAGUGAUCGAAAGAUGAAAAGCACUUUGGAAAGAGAGUUAAAAAGCACGUGAAAUUGUUGAAAGGGAAGCGCCCGCAACCAGACUUCGCGGCGGUGUUCCGCCGGUCUUCUGACCGGUUUAUUCGCCGCCGCGAGGCCAUCAUCGUCUGGGACCGCUGGAUAAGACCUUAGGAAUGUAGCUCCCCUCGGGGAGUGUUAUAGCCUCUGGUGAUGCAGCGCGUCCCGGGCGAGGUCCGCGCUUCGGCAAGGAUGAUGGCGUAAUGGUUGUCGGCGGCCCGUCUUGAAACACGGACCAAG
Molecule: ribosomal RNA, 317 nt
Filed under: Mycosphaerella milleri
Lineage: Eukaryota; Fungi; Ascomycota; Dothideomycetes; Mycosphaerellales; Mycosphaerellaceae
Description: eukaryotic LSU rRNA
Rfam family: Eukaryotic large subunit ribosomal RNA
Source: RNAcentral